UAACCGACUACUGCUCUUCUACCCUACUGUCUGUCAGAGUAUUUCAUCACAGUGGCAGGAAGAGAGACAUACCACUAUUGGGGGUGGCCAACCUGCAGAUUUACUGCCUCUAGCUUUCCAGUGUUUUGAGUGGUCUAAGCUGACAAGAAAUGACUCAGAAAGCUGGCAUCUGCCUGGCCUUUACAAGAUUCAUUUCAGCUGUGUCUGUGUCCUGAUAUUUUCUCAUCAUUAAUGCUGGUAUCACUUGGUUUACAAGGUUUCUGGGGCUGAAAGGGGAAAAUGCUGCAGAUAAGCCAGCAAUCACAGACAGAUACAGAGACAGAAGUGGAGAAUUCUAUUUUGUUUCCAUUCCUUGAUGAACUAUCAAUGCAGUAAGACUCAAAAAAAAGUACCCCCCAAUUUAUUUUUGAGGUUUCAAGGCUGUCUUGGAACUCUAGAACCCCAACUUUAAGACAUGCACCUGCCUUUACCUCCUGAGUGCUGGGAUUAAUGGUGUGUGCCUCCACUGCCCAGCUCUGGUUUGGAUUUUAGGAGCAGAUUUUUAACUGCUGAGCCAUUUCCCCAGCUCCAAAAGAAUUUACUAAGUGGCAUCUGGUUUAUGUCCACCACCUUUCAGCCCUGUUUGUCUUUUUACUGGUACUCAUGUGACAGAGGGAAGUGAAGUCUGAUGCUGCCUUGCGUUUGUUCCCCAUAAGAUCUGGCUCUGGUCCUAGAGGGUGCUACAGGAGUGGCCACGGCUGUGGGGUGCAGGGAGUUGCUAUGCAGCACCAUCUGUAACUAACAGCAUUUGGCCCUGGUUAUGGGAACAGUUGGUGUUUUUAAGAUGCCCAUUAAUUGCCAGCCCUACUGGUCUGAGAAAUGAUUGACUAUGGGCACCUUUACCCAGGGCUUUUGAUGGGUAUGAGCAAUGGGAUUUGUGUGCCACCACAUGGAACUGACACGUUAGGGCAUACCAACUACACUCGGCUGCUGGAAGUCAUUUGGCUGUUUGUCUUGUCCACUGUGACUCAGUGAGUUCAGGAUGUUUGUGACACAGCACCAGAAGAAGCUCAACUGGUGCUUUUCAUAGUUCUUAACCACAGAGGCAGGGGCUCUACCCUGGAACUCAUUUGUGGAACUCAGCUCUUGUCUUAGCAUCCUAAAUGCUGGGAUUGUAAGUGUCACCCAGCUCACCAGUUAUUUUCAUAGUCACUCCAUGUAUCUUCUGACCCCAGAGGACAUGGCCCUUUUUAAGACUGAGGAUGUGACUCAGUGGUAGGGUACUUGUCUAGCCUGAGUUAGAAAUAAAAUUACUGUCCUGUUGAAAUUAGUGCUUUCGGGAUUCCCUGGUUUCUAGGUCUCCAGAUGAAAUGUGACUUUUGCCUACUUGUGCGCUUCCUAACUCUUCUCUACUAAUGUCGGUUUCCUAAGAUGACCCUGCUGUCACACCUUCCUUCAUGCCAGGCUGGUUUUAUACAUGCCCCACUUGGUUUCUCACUUUCUGGCUGCUCAAGCGUGUCCUCUCACAGAUGUCCUCAUUCUGUUGUGUUCAUUUGAGACCGACAGUGCAGAGUUUGUUUGAAACUACAGCACUAAGUCUAAGAACAAGAACCCUGUGUGCCAGUCCCAGUGCCUGGCACAUGUUUUGACGCCAGUGGUGUGACUGACUUCAUCUUGUGAGCCAGCAGGUGAUACAGACGAAAUAUCAGGUUGAUGGCAUUAAUGACCUAGUGAAAUAGACUUCUUUCUCCUUGUGUACUUGGGGAGGAGCUUAUGUGAAGUCAGUACCCACAUUCAGCUGGACUCAGAUCUGAAGCCGUACCACACUCUGUGACAGUUGCCAAGUCUUUCUGUCUCAGCUUCCGGGCGACCUCAGUGUCUUGGCUGGGGACACUGUCAGAUCGUGAGUUUGUUUUAAAUUUUCAUUAGUUGUUUCAAGGCAUAUGUUUUCUGGUGUGUUUCGUUCCCCAAGUGGAAAAGAAACAUGACCUCAUAACCCCGGGUGUGGACCAGUGCUUGACUUGCCUUAGGCUCUGGUUUGGGUCACCAGCAUCAAAACAAACCCACUUUU
This 2050-nucleotide long non-coding RNA is filed under the name Mus musculus (house mouse). RNAcentral describes it as "long non-coding RNA chr5:29772152-29774202". The record is from RNAcentral. Lineage: Eukaryota; Metazoa; Chordata; Mammalia; Rodentia; Muridae.